CUUAAAAUCCGUCGACUUUUAAAAUCGUGAGGGUUCAAGUCCCUCUAUCCCCA
This 53-nucleotide transfer RNA is filed under the name Citharexylum mocinnoi. Its description in RNAcentral is "partial tRNA-Leu". The record is from RNAcentral. Lineage: Eukaryota; Viridiplantae; Streptophyta; Magnoliopsida; Lamiales; Verbenaceae.